Candidatus Liptonbacteria bacterium GWC1_60_9 is the source of this 71-nucleotide non-coding RNA. NCBI's taxonomy places the organism in Bacteria, Candidatus Liptoniibacteriota. The record is from Rfam.
GAGGCAUUGGUGUAACGGCAGCACCAGAGCUUGUGGAGCUCUUAGUACGGGUUCGAAUCCCGUAUGCCUCC